GGUUAAGCGACUAAGCGUACACGGUGGAUGCCCUGGCAGUCAGAGGCGAUGAAGGACGUGCUAAUCUGCGAAAAGCGUCGGUAAGGUGAUAUGAACCGUUAUAACCGGCGAUGUCCGAAUGGGGAAACCCAGUGCAAUUCGUUGCACUAUCGUUAACUGAAUACAUAGGUUAACGAGGCGAACCGGGGGAACUGAAACAUCUAAGUACCCCGAGGAAAAGAAAUCAACCGAGAUUCCCCCAGUAGCGGCGAGCGAACGGGGAGCAGCCCAGAGUCUGAAUCAGCUUGUGUGUUAGUGGAACGGUCUGGAAAGUCCGACGGUACAGGGUGAUAGUCCCGUACACCAAAAUGCACAGGCUGUGAACUCGAAGAGUAGGGCGGGACACGUGGUAUCCUGUCUGAAUAUGGGGGGACCAUCCUCCAAGGCUAAAUACUCCUGACUGACCGAUAGUGAACCAGUACCGUGAGGGAAAGGCGAAAAGAACCCCGGCGAGGGGAGUGAAAAAGAACCUGAAACCGUGUACGUACAAGCAGUGGGAGCACCUUCGGGUGUGACUGCGUACCUUUUGUAUAAUGGGUCAGCGACUUAUAUUCUGUAGCAAGGUUAACCGUAUAGGGGAGCCGCAGGGAAACCGAGUCUUAACUGGGCGUUAAGUUGCAGGGUAUAGACCCGAAACCCGGUGAUCUAGCCAUGGGCAGGUUGAAGGUUGGGUAACACUAACUGGAGGACCGAACCGACUAAUGUUGAAAAAUUAGCGGAUGACUUGUGGCUGGGGGUGAAAGGCCAAUCAAACCGGGAGAUAGCUGGUUCUCCCCGAAAGCUAUUUAGGUAGCGCCUCGUGAACUCAUCUUCGGGGGUAGAGCACUGUUUUGGCUAGGGGUCAUCCCGACUUACCAACCCGAUGCACACUACGAAUACCGAAGAAUGUUAUCACGGGAGACACACGGCGGGUGCUAACGUCCGGACAAGAGGGAAACAACCCAGACCGCCAGCUAAGGUCCCAAAGUCAUGGUUAAGUGGGAAACGAUGUGGGAAGGCACAGACAGCCAGGAUGUUGGCUUAGAAGCAGCCAUCAUUUAAAGAAAGCGUAAUAGCUCACUGGUCGAGUCGGCCUGCGCGGAAGAUGUAACGGGGCUAAACCAUGCACCGAAGCUGCGGCAGCGACACUAUGUGUUGUUGGGUAGGGGAGCGUUCUGUAAGCCUGCGAAGGUGUGCUGUGAGGCAUGCUGGAGGUAUCAGAAGUGCGAAUGCUGACAUAAGUAACGAUAAAGCGGGUGAAAAGCCCGCUCGCCGGAAGACCAAGGGUUCCUGUCCAACGUUAAUCGGGGCAGGGUGAGUCGACCCCUAAGGCGAGGCCGAAAGGCGUAGUCGAUGGGAAACAGGUUAAUAUUCCUGUACUUGGUGUUACUGCGAAGGGGGGACGGAGAAGGCUAUGUUAGCCGGGCGACGGUUGUCCCGGUUUAAGCAUGUAGGCUGAUUGUCCAGGCAAAUCCGGAUAAUCAAGGCUGAGGUGUGAUGACGAGGCACUACGGUGCUGAAGUAACAAAUGCCCUGCUUCCAGGAAAAGCCUCUAAGCAUCAGGUAACAUUAAAUCGUACCCCAAACCGACACAGGUGGUCAGGUAGAGAAUACCAAGGCGCUUGAGAGAACUCGGGUGAAGGAACUAGGCAAAAUGGUGCCGUAACUUCGGGAGAAGGCACGCUGGUGUGUAGGUGAAGCCCCUGCGGGUGGAGCUGAGACCAGUCGAAGAUACCAGCUGGCUGCAACUGUUUAUUAAAAACACAGCACUGUGCAAACACGAAAGUGGACGUAUACGGUGUGACGCCUGCCCGGUGCCGGAAGGUUAAUUGAUGGGGUUAUCCGUAAGGAGAAGCUCUUGAUCGAAGCCCCGGUAAACGGCGGCCGUAACUAUAACGGUCCUAAGGUAGCGAAAUUCCUUGUCGGGUAAGUUCCGACCUGCACGAAUGGCGUAAUGAUGGCCAGGCUGUCUCCACCCGAGACUCAGUGAAAUUGAACUCGCUGUGAAGAUGCAGUGUACCCGCGGCAAGACGGAAAGACCCCGUGAACCUUUACUAUAGCUUGACACUGAACAUUGAGCCUUGAUGUGUAGGAUAGGUGGGAGGCUUUGAAGCGUGGACGCCAGUCUGCGUGGAGCCAACCUUGAAAUACCACCCUUUAAUGUUUGAUGUUCUAACGUUGGCCCCUUACCGGGGUUGCGGACAGUGUCUGGUGGGUAGUUUGACUGGGGCGGUCUCCUCCCAAAGCGUAACGGAGGAGCACGAAGGUUAGCUAAUCCUGGUCGGACAUCAGGAGGUUAGUGCAAUGGCAUAAGCUAGCUUGACUGCGAGCGUGACGGCGCGAGCAGGUGCGAAAGCAGGUCAUAGUGAUCCGGUGGUUCUGAAUGGAAGGGCCAUCGCUCAACGGAUAAAAGGUACUCCGGGGAUAACAGGCUGAUACCGCCCAAGAGUUCAUAUCGACGGCGGUGUUUGGCACCUCGAUGUCGGCUCAUCACAUCCUGGGGCUGAAGUAGGUCCCAAGGGUAUGGCUGUUCGCCAUUUAAAGUGGUACGCGAGCUGGGUUUAGAACGUCGUGAGACAGUUCGGUCCCUAUCUGCCGUGGGCGCUGGAGAAUUGAGGGGGGCUGCUCCUAGUACGAGAGGACCGGAGUGGACGCAUCACUGGUGUUCGGGUUGUCAUGCCAAUGGCACUGCCCGGUAGCUAAAUGCGGAAGAGAUAAGUGCUGAAAGCAUCUAAGCACGAAACUUGCCCCGAGAUGAGUUCUCCCUGAGACUUUAAGUCUCCUGAAGGAACGUUAAAGACGAUGACGUUGAUAGGCCGGGUGUGUAAGCGCAGCGAUGCGUUGAGCUAACCGGUACUAAUGAACCGUGAGGCUUAACCUU
This 2899-nucleotide ribosomal RNA is filed under the name Klebsiella pneumoniae. Its description in RNAcentral is "23S ribosomal RNA". It matches the Rfam family "Bacterial large subunit ribosomal RNA". The record is from RNAcentral. Lineage: Bacteria; Pseudomonadati; Pseudomonadota; Gammaproteobacteria; Enterobacterales; Enterobacteriaceae.